RNAcentral lists this ribosomal RNA (333 nucleotides) under Burkholderia cepacia. RNAcentral describes it as "bacterial SSU rRNA". It matches the Rfam family "Bacterial small subunit ribosomal RNA", at positions 8 to 358 of the family's 1533-position model. The record is from RNAcentral. Lineage: Bacteria; Pseudomonadati; Pseudomonadota; Betaproteobacteria; Burkholderiales; Burkholderiaceae.
AGAGUUUGAUCCUGGCUCAGAUUGAACGCUGGCGGCAUGCCUUACACAUGCAAGUCGAACGGCAGCACGGGUGCUUGCACCUGGUGGCGAGUGGCGAACGGGUGAGUAAUACAUCGGAACAUGUCCUGUAGUGGGGGAUAGCCCGGCGAAAGCCGGAUUAAUACCGCAUACGAUCCACGAUGAAAGCGGGACUCGGCUCGCGCUAUAGGUUGGCCGAUGGCUGAUACUAGUUGGUGGGGUAAGCCUACCAAGCGACGAUCAGUAGCUGGUCUGAGAGACGACAGCCACACUGGGACUGAGACACGCCAGACUCUUACGGGAGGCAGCAGUGGG